RNAcentral lists this long non-coding RNA (1083 nucleotides) under Callithrix jacchus (white-tufted-ear marmoset). Its description in RNAcentral is "lncRNA (ENSCJAG00000084435.1)". The record is from RNAcentral. Lineage: Eukaryota; Metazoa; Chordata; Mammalia; Primates; Cebidae.
AGAUGUUAUUCACAACUGUUGUAAUAAGUAUAAUGGCUACAGCAAUGGAGUUUUGUAGUAGGGGAGAGAGAAUGGGCUUAACCUCAGAUACAGAGAAAAAAAAUGAGGAUUUGUAGCCAAGGAUCAGGGUAGGGGGUUGGUGGCUGGAAAAUUACUUAGAGAAAACAUCAGGUAUGAGAGGAGAUUUUGGACCUAACAGGAUUCUUGCUAAGGGUGGAUCAGAUAUCAUGUGGGGGAUAGUGGAAAAUUAGGACUCUGAUUUGAUAUCCACAAUGAUCAGCUAUCAAGUACGAGGGAUUCCAGCUAAAUGAAAUUUUUACUAAAACUGGAUUCUUGAGGACAUGUCUGGGAAUGGGGCACAGUAUAAAAAGAACUCAGAGGAGCCUGAAUGAAGUUUGAUUAAGGAGAGAAUCUUUGUCAUCUACCAUAUUACAACUACCAGACAAAUGAGAAUAUAUUUUUAUUUGGCAAAACCUUGGCCAGCACAAACUAAGAAAUUCUGAAGCCAUUUAGUUUUUCAAAAAAUUAUAUGGGAAAUAAGCUUAAGUUUCACCAUGAUAGAAGAAUUUUGCCUGAAGACCCAGUAUUGUUAGCCUUUUAUGUCUCUCAUGAGCAUGCGACAGCACUAAAAAUGAAAAUUAGAUUUAACUAUAGCAACAAACAUCAUCACAUAGAGUAGAUAGAACAAAAGUAACCAGGAGAACAAGCUUUAGAGAUGAUAAAAGCUCAGUAUCUUGGCAACCUUUUAUGUUGGGUUAUUUUUAAAAAAUGGGUAAUAUUGUGCUCUAGUUCUAAUUUAUUCAACUACUUGCUGAGUGAUAGCAACAUUACAACUACAGAACCUGUAUGUCAUCUUGACAUUGCUGUGUUUCCAGCAAACAACACCUCUUUAUUCCUCUUCACGUGUCCAGAAACACUGUGAUUUAGGUAAAAAUUUACACACCACAGAAAGUCCCUUAUAAUUAUCUUGAUUAUAGAUCAUUUUGCAUUAAUUUUAAAGCCAUAGUAGAUAUGCAAAAUUUUCACUCUCCUAAGAAUUAUAUCUUCUUAUAUAUAAAUCAAUCAUGUGUUUUUGAUUGCUAU